RNAcentral lists this ribosomal RNA (253 nucleotides) under uncultured bacterium. RNAcentral describes it as "partial 16S ribosomal RNA". It matches the Rfam family "Bacterial small subunit ribosomal RNA", at positions 524 to 776 of the family's 1533-position model. The record is from RNAcentral.
UACGGGGGGGGCAGGCGUUGUUCGGAAUUACUGGGCGUAAAGGGCUCGUAGGCGGCCAACUAAGUCAGACGUGAAAUCCCUCGGCUUAACCGGGGAACUGCGUCUGAUACUGGAUGGCUUGAGUUUGGGAGAGGGAUGCGGAAUUCCAGGUGUAGCGGUGAAAUGCGUAGAUAUCUGGAGGAACACCGGUGGCGAAGGCGGCAUCCUGGACCAACACUGACGCUGAGGAGCGAAAGCCAGGGGAGCAAACGGG